UGGUUCUGGCAUCGAUGAAGAACGCAGCGAAAUGCGAUAAGUAGUGUGAAUUGCAGAAUUCAGUGAAUCAUCGAAUCUUUGAACGCACAUUGCGCCCUUUGGUAUUCCUUGGGGCAUGCCUGUUCGAGCGUCAUUUAACCCCUCAAGCUUUGCUUGGUGUUGGGCGUCCUGUCCCGCCUUAUGGUGUGGACUCGCCUAGAAAAGAUUGGCGGCCCGUGUACCGGCUUCGAGCGCAGCACAUUUGCGCCCCUUGCAUGUUGUACACGCUGGCGUCCAGCAAGUCUCUCACCCCAAUUUGACCUCGGAUCAGGUAGGGAUACCCGCUGA
This 327-nucleotide unclassified non-coding RNA is filed under the name uncultured fungus. Its description in RNAcentral is "partial contains 5.8S ribosomal RNA and internal transcribed spacer 2". The stretch from base 1 to 133 matches the Rfam family "5.8S ribosomal RNA", at positions 22 to 154 of the family's 154-position model. The record is from RNAcentral. Lineage: Eukaryota; Fungi.